RNAcentral lists this ribosomal RNA (779 nucleotides) under Salmonella enterica. Its description in RNAcentral is "partial 23S ribosomal RNA". It matches the Rfam family "Bacterial large subunit ribosomal RNA", at positions 2164 to 2925 of the family's 2925-position model. Lineage: Bacteria; Pseudomonadati; Pseudomonadota; Gammaproteobacteria; Enterobacterales; Enterobacteriaceae. The record is from RNAcentral.
GUGGACGCCAGUCUGCAUGGAGCCGACCUUGAAAUACCACCCUUUAAUGUUUGAUGUUCUAACGUGGACCCGUAAUCCGGGUUGCGGACAGUGUCUGGUGGGUAGUUUGACUGGGGCGGUCUCCUCCUAAAGAGUAACGGAGGAGCACGAAGGUUGGCUAAUCUUGGUCGGACAUCAGGAGGUUAGUGCAAUGGCAUAAGCCAGCUUGACUGCGAGCGUGACGGCGCGAGCAGGUGCGAAAGCAGGUCAUAGUGAUCCGGUGGUUCUGAAUGGAAGGGCCAUCGCUCAACGGAUAAAAGGUACUCCGGGGAUAACAGGCUGAUACCGCCCAAGAGUUCAUAUCGACGGCGGUGUUUGGCACCUCGAUGUCGGCUCAUCACAUCCUGGGGCUGAAGUAGGUCCCAAGGGUAUGGCUGUUCGCCAUUUAAAGUGGUACGCGAGCUGGGUUUAGAACGUCGUGAGACAGUUCGGUCCCUAUCUGCCGUGGGCGCUGGAGAACUGAGGGGGGCUGCUCCUAGUACGAGAGGACCGGAGUGGACGCAUCACUGGUGUUCGGGUUGUCAUGCCAAUGGCACUGCCCGGUAGCUAAAUGCGGAAGAGAUAAGUGCUGAAAGCAUCUAAGCACGAAACUUGCCCCGAGAUGAGUUCUCCCUGAGACUUUAAGUCUCCUGAAGGAACGUUGAAGACGACGACGUUGAUAGGCCGGGUGUGUAAGCGCAGCGAUGCGUUGAGCUAACCGGUACUAAUGAACCGUGAGGCUUAACCUUACAACGCCGAAG